Molecule: ribosomal RNA, 261 nt
Filed under: uncultured bacterium
Lineage: Bacteria
Description: partial 16S ribosomal RNA
Rfam family: Bacterial small subunit ribosomal RNA
Source: RNAcentral
UGAGUGGCGGACGGGUGAGUAACGCGUGGGCAACCUGGCCUGUACAGGGGGAUAACACUUAGAAAUAGGUGCUAAUACCGCAUAACGGGGGAAGCCGCAUGGCUUUUCCCUGAAAACUCCGGUGGUACAGGAUGGGCACGCGUCUGAUUAGCCAGUUGGCAGGGUAACGGCCUACCAAAGCGACGAUCAGUAGCCGGCCUGAGAGGGCGGACGGCCACACUGGGACUGAGACACGGCCCAGACUCCUACGGAAGGCAGCAG